This 402-nucleotide ribosomal RNA is filed under the name uncultured bacterium. RNAcentral's name for it is "bacterial SSU rRNA". It matches the Rfam family "Bacterial small subunit ribosomal RNA", at positions 355 to 774 of the family's 1533-position model. The record is from RNAcentral.
UGGGGAAUCUUGCACAAUGGGGGCAACCCUGAUGCAGCGACGCCGCGUGAGCGAUGAAGCCCUUCGGGGCGUAAAGCUCUUUCGACCGGAACGAUAAUGACGGUACCGGGAGAAGAGGCUGCGGCUAACUACGUGCCAGCAGCCGCGGUAAUACGUAGGCAGCAAGCGUUGUUCGGAGUUACUGGGCGUAAAGAGUGCGUAGGCGGUUUUCUAAGUUCGGUGUGAAAUCUCCCGGCUUAACUGGGAGGGUGCGCCGAAGACUGGGAAGCUGGAGUGUGGGAAAGGCAGGCGGAAUUCCUGGUGUAGCGGUGAAAUGCGUAGAUAUCAGGAGGAACACCGGCGGUGUAGACGGCUUGCUAAACCAUAACUGACGCUGAGGCACGAAAGCGUGGGUAGCAAACA